This 760-nucleotide ribosomal RNA is filed under the name Entrophospora claroidea. RNAcentral's name for it is "partial 28S large subunit ribosomal RNA". It matches the Rfam family "Eukaryotic large subunit ribosomal RNA", at positions 38 to 648 of the family's 3401-position model. The record is from RNAcentral. Lineage: Eukaryota; Fungi; Glomeromycota; Glomeromycetes; Entrophosporales; Entrophosporaceae.
GCAUAUCAAUAAGCGGAGGAAAAGAAACUAACAAGGAUUCCCCUAGUAACGGCGAGUGAAGAGGGAAGAGCUCAAAUUUUAAAUCUGCCUUGUUUCAAGGUCGAGUUGUAAUUUGAAGAAGCUGUUUUCUUGGGCUCGCGACCGGUAGAAGUUCUUUGGAACAGGACAUCAUAGAGGGUGACAAUCCCGUCUGCGACCGGUCGUGCGUUCAUCUACGAUACGCUUUCAAAGAGUCGAGUUGUUCGGGAUUGCAGCUCCAAAUGGGUGGUAAACAUCACCUAAGGCUAAAUAUUGGCGAGAGACCGAUAGCGAACAAGUACCGUGAGGGAAAGAUGAAGAGAACUUUGAAAAGAGAGUUAAACAGUACGUGAAAUUGUUGAAAGGGAAACGAUUGAAGUCAGUCGUGCUGGCGCGAAAUCAACCCUCUCGUCGAGAGGACACAUGGCGUGGCGAGCCUCAAAACCGUCACGAAGCGUGAACUCUUGGCGAAAAGGAGCACUUUCGUGUCCGCUGGUUAACAUCAAUUUCGAACGUCAUAAAAAGGCUGGAGGGAUGUGGCUCCUUCGGGAGUGUUAUAACCUUUAGCGGAAUGUGGUGGUCGGGAUUGAGGAUUGCAACGAAUUCCUUUAGGGCUGUUCCACCUGGCUUUUGUUUGGUAUCCUGGUGACGACAGCUUGCUGACGUUGUUAGGAUUCGCCUUUGAACAGGCUAGAGUGUGAGCAAAUUCGUUAAGGAUGUUGACGUAAUGGCUUUAAACGAC